AGCUUCACCAAAAAACACCAAGGACAGUAUUCUAGCACUGUACAUUUAGCUCUGGGUUUUAAGCUCUGGCUUGUUUUAGUUGUGAAAUAGGUUUUUCCCUCCUGUGAGCACAGCCUGUGAAAGGCAGUGCCUGUCCAGGGCAAGGAGCUGUGUAGUGUAAUGCACUGGUCCAUUCUUUGGGUCUCUUCUGGGGGCUCCAGUAUUCCCUCUGCGCCCACCAUCAUGCAGACAAGAUCAUCCAUCAUCUGUGAGAUCUCUGCUUUCCUUUUCCUCCUUGGAUCCCUGCAGCGAUGCCAUUUUGGGGGCCCCCGAGCGGGAAGAGCAGGGACCCAAGCAAACCCUGGCUGCCAGGAUGGGCUGCCCACUUCUGGGCAAACCCUCAGAGAAAAACCCCUGUAGAAGUAUCACCAGUGGAAGCACUGUUUGCUCGUUACUUUGUGGGAGACUAU
Empidonax traillii (willow flycatcher) is the source of this 449-nucleotide long non-coding RNA. RefSeq lists it as uncharacterized. The record is from RefSeq and is a predicted model, not a curated record. The transcript has 3 exons. NCBI's taxonomy places the organism in Eukaryota, Metazoa, Chordata, Aves, Passeriformes, Tyrannidae.